Molecule: antisense RNA, 75 nt
Filed under: Actinokineospora spheciospongiae
Lineage: Bacteria; Bacillati; Actinomycetota; Actinomycetes; Pseudonocardiales; Pseudonocardiaceae
Description: Actinokineospora sp. EG49 ASpks TB sRNA
Rfam family: ASpks TB sRNA
Source: Rfam by way of RNAcentral
CUUCACCGAACCCAGCAGCAGCGGGCGGCCCUCGGGCCGGUUGCGGCCGUAGGUGGCCAGCAGCGCCUCGGCCUC